Molecule: long non-coding RNA, 1550 nt
Organism: Cyanistes caeruleus (blue tit)
Lineage: Eukaryota; Metazoa; Chordata; Aves; Passeriformes; Paridae
Source: Ensembl
UUUCAUGCUGUAGGGUCUUCUACUUGCAAAAUGAUUUGUGCCAGUUAAGUACCUUUCCUAAGCAAACCAAUUGAAAGGCAUGAUCUCUGUACUGUGGAGAAAUGCCCUAUAACCCAGUUCCUGGGUUUAGUCGUGGGACUUACAUGUUGUUGGCUUGGUAUGAAACAACUGGAGUUCACAAUUAAGGGGUGUGCUGGGAUAGCUUCCAUUAGUAAUAGAAAGAGGUCUACAGAACAGAAAGAAAAAUGCAGCAACACUUUGUGAAAGAUGACUCAGGAGACACCUCAUUCAUAACAUGAAUGCUUCUGAUGGUAUUAAUAGUACUUCCUUUAAAGCUAUCCCACAAAAAUCCCUUCUAUCAUCCCUAAUGCUCUUAAUGCCAAUUGAGAAAAAACUUGUGCAUUUUUUUCUCCGAAUACACUCUCAUUAUCCAUCUCGAAGAGGAAGGAAUAUCCUGUCCAAGCUACAGUGUGCAUCAAAAAAAUUGAUCCCUUCUAAUCCACUGUCUACAUUACAGAUGGAACCCAUUACCACCCACUUCCUCAGUUAGGAAAUGGUCCCUCUGUACACUUUGUACUGCUCCUCAGAUGGUUGAGUGCAUUUAUCCAAACAGCUAGCAGUGAAUUCUGACUGCUGCAAGCAAGUCAAAUGUAAGCCAGCUAUGGAGCAGAUGUCUUAUGGAUAAAGCCAUGGAUAGCCAAUGAAAAACACCUGACCACAGCACUAAACUACACAGCACAGCUCCCCUGCUCCAGACCUGAACCAGUUCAUACACCCUGUGGAUAGGGAAUCCCACAUCAGUCUGAAAACUGGAUAGAUGUGCCCCUUUAUAUAUAUAUAUUUAUUUUUUUUUGUGAGCAUAGACUUGCUGAAUAAUUUGGUGCCCUGUUACUUAAAUGUAGACAGUUCAUUUCUUCCUAUACAGUUUAUUUUCUUUCAACACUGUAUUAGCUAGCCCCAGCCUAAUGUUAGCCUCCAAAAAACUACAUCAGGCCUGUGGUUUUUACAUAAAAGGUUUUGCUGCCUUAUCUUCUGUAAGCAUAGUGAAGAAAGAGAAGCACCUGGACAGACAGUUUAUCUGGUUUGAGGAACGUGUAAAAUAGAGAGAGAAUCUUCUUUUCCUAUCAAUUAUUCAGCAAUCUCCAGAUGCUCAGGUAAUUGCUGUAGAACCCUACAAGCUGUACAGGAAACAUACAAAACCAGCAAACUCUCUGACUGUAUACAAUUUCAGCCUGGAGAUACCAUUGGACUGAAGAACACCUCUAAUCCAUCCUCACUGAACUGGAGGCAGACAGUAGGACACAGGCAGUUAUUUAGGGCACCCAAAGUCAUCACAGACAGCUUCAUCUUCAUGCAGUGGGAAGGAAGAGAAAAGGAUUUAUGAGAAGGUGUAAUGUGAUAAGCACAUUUCCUUGCACACAUUGUUUAUUUUGCACAGAUCCUCUUUGUAGCUCUGCAGGCUCUUUCCUCUAAAGCCACUGCCUGAGUGGGCACCUGUGCUGACCUCCCCUUGUGCUGGACACUGCAGACAUGUACGUCAGACACAGACA